CACACAGAAGGGAGAUGGAAAAGACACGGUCACGACUUGCUUUCCUUCCUGGACGUCACCUGUCACACCAGCCCCUGGAUGCCAGGAUGGUAUCCCUGCAAAGAGCUUUGGUGGUCCUGAAGGGUCUGCUUCAUCCUGCGGAGACCAGGCUUCCUCAUACCCUUGCCCAGCUGACAUGACCAUUGUGACUAGAAAUGACAGCUUCUCCUUACUAGGGGCCAGCAGCAACAGUGUAAGCAACCAGUGCCCUGAGGUUGAUGACAUCAGCAAUGUGACAAUCAGCGAUCUGUAUGAAGGCAUGAUGCACUCCAUGAGCAGGCUGCUGCGCUCAAAGCCGUCGUGCAUCAUCUCCACCAAGACCUCCAUUAACAGGAACUGGAAGCUCAAGAGGAGGCUCUCACGAAAGCAUGGGGUGCACAAGAACACGACAUACUGCCACAGGAGCAAACCCUUCCAGAGGAGCUCUAGGAAGGGGCCCCUGCACUGCUCAGAGCCCAGGAAAGAGGCCAGAGUAUUAAGGGACUCCAAGAACUUGCCGCAUGUUGAUCCCCACAAGACAGACAAGACAGGCUUAGAACUGGAAAGUGUUCCUCUUGAAGGAAGCAAACUCCAAGUCCAUAAAUUGAGUCCAGCUUGGAAGGAGCUCCAGGGGCUGCCUCAGAAGUAUUUGGGCUUAAGCACAGUAAACCACCUUGGGCGAGAAGACAGGGUGAAGGCAUUACAGUGGUUAAUUUCACCCGUUAAAAUGGCUCCCAGGCUGAGGGUGCCUCCAGGU
Molecule: long non-coding RNA, 775 nt
Filed under: Rattus norvegicus (Norway rat)
Lineage: Eukaryota; Metazoa; Chordata; Mammalia; Rodentia; Muridae
Description: long non-coding RNA NONRATT030263
Source: RNAcentral